AUGAAUUUCAACAGACAGCGAAAGUUGUAUAAAUUGCAGUUCAAGAUAACGAUACUACUUUUAGAAACACAUCUGCUAACAAAUUGACUCGUUGGCACAUUUUUCGCUGCGAAACCUAGCGGUGAAGAUUUAAACUGCCGGUCUUUAGCAGGCACACCAGAACUACGACGAAGAAUGUAUGAAACAUACUUCCACCAGAGAUACAGUAGCUAUAUAAUGACGAGAUUGGUCUCCGAUAAGCAGGCGGUCUGCCAAAAGACCUUUGAAACUAGAUGUCAUUUAUGAAUGUUCCACUGGGUAGAGGUGAGGCCAAAUGUUGGAUCAGAACCAUUUUGAUAGGUGUAUGACAGAAGAAGUCAGUCCACCUCUACCGUAUUGUCACUUUGUUGUGCAACGCGCUGUAAAACUGUUUCAGAUCAUAGCACUGAGGGUGCAGUGCGAGUUCUGCAUGAGCUGCACUCGGAGGUCAGCGGCCUCAAUGUAACCCUCAAUGUGGUACCUGAUGAGCUGCUUGUAGUUAAUAAUAGCCAUGUGACUCAUUAGUAUACAUAUUUAGAGAAUGAUUUACAUAACUGGUUUGUUGUGAAGGAGCAGCUAAUGCGCCAACAGGCAGGUUGCCUGGAGCGUUGGUCUUGUAACCGGAAGGUUGCAAGAUCGAAUCCCCGAACUGACCAGAUAAAAAUCUCUCGUUCUGCCCCUGAACAAGGCAGUUAGCCCACUGUUCCUAGUGUAGCCGAUGUGAAAUGGCUAGCAAGUUAACGGGGGUGCGGGGAUAAAAGCGUUUCAAUCGUUGAAAAAAAUCUGUCGUUCUGCCCCUGAACAAGGCAGUUAGCCGAUGUGAAAUGGCUAGCAAGUUAACGGGGGUGCGGGGAUAAAAGCGUUUCAAUAGUUGACGUCACUCGCUGAGACCUGAAGUAGUUCUUCCCAUUGCUCUGCAAGGGCCGCGGCUCUUGUGGCGCGAUGGGUAACGAUGCUUCAGGGGUGUCAGUUGUCUGUGUGUGCAGUUGUCUGUUACAUUGAUGCUGUUGACCCGGAUCACUGGUUGCUGCGGAAAAAGAGGUCACAAGUGUGACUCCGACUAGACCAUCAGAACCACUCUCAACCUUUCAGGUUAUAUUGAUAUAGGGCUCGUUUUACUGUGGAUAUAGAUACUUUUGUACAUGUUUCCUCCAGCAUCUUCAUAAUGUCCUUUGCUGUUGUUAUGGGACUGAUUUGCACUUUUCGCGACAAAGUACUUUAAUCUCUAGGAGACAGAACGCAUCUCCUUCCUGAGCGGUAUGACUGCUGCGUGGUCCCAUGUUGUUUAUACUUGAGUACUAUUGUUUGUACAGAUGAACGUGGUACCUUCAGGCGUUUGGAAAUUGCUCCCAAGGAUGAACCAGACUUGUGGAGGUCUCUGAUUUUUUUCCGAGGUCUUCGUUGAUUUCUUUUGAUUUUCCCAUGAUGUCAAGCAAAGAGGAACUGAGUUUUAAGAGGGGUGGUGGUGGAGCCCGUGGGGAGCAGAGCAUGGGGCAGGAAAGCCGCCUCUCAAUCGUGGAGCCGGACGGUUCCACCCAGGCAUCCAACCUGGGUACCCUGCGGGUGAGGGGAUUACCCCGAGCCAUUCGGUCCCGAGAUGCCGGACCUAAGCUCUGUCACACAGGACCUCUUUAAGCUCAUUUCCCAGAGCAAGAAAGUCCCCACAGCAGUAGUUCAGCCACACAACAUACCUUCAAUCCUCCACACAGCAACAGGGAAGAACAGGUCAACUCUGAUAAUGCCAACAAGAAAGUAGUAUAGGUUUAUUAAUAACAUAUCCUUAAAAAGAGUUACACCAUUACCAAUUCCAAUAGAUUUACUUACUAGUCAAACCUCUGCUCUCUUUUUGUCAUUCCUCCAGGGCCCAAAUCUUCCCUCCAGGGCGGUGUCAGUCUUCUCUCAGGGCUGUGUCAGGCCAUGGUGUCUGGCCAUGGUGUCAGAAAGUAUUCCAAGCUACGUGAGACUCCUCUGUCCAGCCUCAACCAGGCCAUUCAGAAGAUCAACAGUGCCACAGAAAUGUAUUUUGGGACUCUGUUGCCUCAGGUGGUCUUGCAGGGUUUCUGAUGGAGGAGCUGAAGAGGAUCACGGGGGUGGGCAUCAAAGCCCAUGUACUUUAGGUGUCUGACUGAGCUGAAGAGGUUGUAGCAUGUGCAGGGAGUAGGUACCAGCGCCAUGUAUAAAAUCCUGUCACAGAAGCAUACCUGAUCAGAAUUAAAAUGACAUUCCCUACCUUCUUAAACCUCCCAAAUGACUCGACACUACUGAGUGAGGAUCCAUUUACUGACCAUCAUUUGAGUAGGCCUUGACUUUUUGUUGUUACAUUACAGCCUUAUUAUAAAAUUGAUUAAAUUAUUUGUUUUCCUCAUCACCCCACAAUGACAAAGCGAAAACAGGUUAAAAUAAAACACUGAAAUACCUUUACAUAAAUAUUCAGACCCUUUACUCAGUACUUUGUUGAAGCACCUUUGGCAGCGAUUACAGCCUCGAGUCUUCUUGGUUAUGACUCUUCAAGCUUGGCACACCUGUAAUUGGAGAGUUAAUUUUAUUAUUCUCUAUAGAUCCUCUCAAGCUCUGUCAGGUUGGAUAUGGAGCAUCGCUGCACAGCUAUUUUCAGGUCUCUACAGAGAAGUCCGGGCUCUGGCUGGGCCACUAAAGGACAUUCAGAAGCUUAUCCCGAAGCCACUCGUGCGUUGUCUUGGCUGUGUGCUUAGGGUCGUUGUCCUGUUGGAAGGUGAACCUUCGCCCCCAGUCUGAGAACCUGCCCCAGAGUGCUCAGGACUUCAUCAAGGAUCUCUCUGCUCCAUUCAUCUUUCCCUCAAUCCUGACUAGUCUCCCAGUCCCUGCUGCUGGAAACACCCCCAUAGCAUGAUGCUGCCACCACCAUGCUUCACCGUAGGGAUGGUGCCAGGUUUCCUCCAGAUGUGACACUUGGCAUUCAGGCCAAAGAGUUCAAUCUUGGUUUCAUCAGACCAGAAAAUCUUGUUUCUCAUACAUAGUCUGAGUCCUUCAGGUGCCAAAAGUCCAAGCUGGCCAUCAUGUACCUUUUACUGAGGAGUGUCUUCCGUCUGGCCACUACCAUAAAGGCCUGAUUGGCGGAGAGCUGUAGCGAUGUUGGUCCUUCUGGAAGGUUCUCCCAUCUCCACAGAUGAACUCUGGAGCUCUGUCAGCAUUAACAUCAGGUUCUUGGUCACCUCCCUGACCAAGACCCUUCUCCCCGAUUGCUAAGUUUGGCUGGGCGGCCACCUCUAGGGAGAGUCUUGGUGGUUCCAAACUUCCUCCAUUUCAGAAUGAUGGAAGCCACUGUUCUUGGGGACCUUCCAAUGCUGCAAAGAUUUUUUGGUAACUCCCCAGAUCUGGCAACUUUCAUAAAUUAUGUGCAUUACCACCACCGUUUGAGUGAUGCCUGGUGAAUACUCAGAAGUGGACACGUCUGUAGACAAUCUUUUUUACACACAUUGAUUCCGACACAAUCAUCAGAACUCCAAUACAUGCAAGACUGCCGCUGCGUACAAAGCCGUAGGCAUUUAUUUCUUUAUGCCUGCUACUGUUUUUUUUUUUUAACCUUUAUUUAACCAGGCAAGUCAGUUAAGAACACAUUCUUAUUUUCAAUGACGGAACAGUGGGUUAACUGCCUGUUCAGGGGCAGAACGACAGAUUUGUACCUUGUCAGCUCGGGGGUUUGAACUCGCAACCUUGCGGUUACUAGUCCAACGCUCUAACCACUAGGCUAUGCUACCGCCCCAAAAAGUCACGGGUGGCCAAUCUUCCACCUAAAUCUUCCACCAAGCCCCUUCUUUUUAAUGGUAUCUGUUGCUUUUAUACAUGUCUUACUCUUGCUCAAAAGACUUUGGCAUGUUGGCAUGUUUCGUUUCUAAAUGUCUGCGCAAGACUGAAAGUUUCACCCACGAGAGAGUAACGGUUAAGGUGAUUGGAUGUUCAUUAUUUGACUAGGCUACCUGUAUUUGACAGUGUUGUUAUUUCACUGAACACUAGAUGGUUUAAUUUUAUUUUUGGCAGUGAAACAUGGCUAGUCAGGUGACAAAAAACCCUCACCCAAAUGUAUAGCCCCCUUGGAAAAUAUAAAUGGACUGUUUGAAAAUGUGAAGAAACAUUUUUUGAAAAAAAUUCAAUAAAUGUUGUUUUUUUUAAAAA
Oncorhynchus keta (chum salmon) is the source of this 4170-nucleotide long non-coding RNA. RefSeq lists it as uncharacterized. The record is from RefSeq and is a predicted model, not a curated record. NCBI's taxonomy places the organism in Eukaryota, Metazoa, Chordata, Actinopteri, Salmoniformes, Salmonidae. The transcript has 3 exons.